UUUUCAUGUUGCAUAGCAACUUUUAAAAUUAAAAUUUUUUUAAAACUUGCUCUAAAUUAAAUCAGGCCAAAGACCCUCCCAAAUCCCAAACACCAAUUUCACAGCUCUAUAUUACAACAAGUGGCCAACUAGAAAAAGAAGAGGGAAAAAGAGAGAGGAAGAGAACAAAACUCUUACCAUAAUAUUUUCAUGAUAAUUUUUGAUGAAAUUGAAUUUGAAUGCUGGGAUUUUUAAUUUUCUGCGAGUGAGCUCCGCCCAUUAUUAGUACACGUACGUAUGUGACGUCAUAAAACUCACGUGAUGUGCAUGUGGUCUGGUAGUGGCGCGGCACGAGACGCGAGUAAAACUUCAAACUUGAGCAUGCUAGUGUCAGUGGUGUGAGGAUUUUGUGCAAGGGUCACUGGACUGCGAGCUGGAUAGUUGGACUGUCUGAGCAGGCUGUGCCAUAGAUAUUGGCUGGGCUCACAGUCUAUUGGAUAUGAGUCUAUAUAGGGCUAUUAGUCGAGUCGAGGAGCUCCGGGCCGUUUACGAGUAGUGCUUAAGAGCGGACAAUGGACCGUGGAAGAGCGGACAAUGGACCGUGGGGUUUGGCACUCCGGCACUGUCAUUGAGGAACAGCACUGAUAACAAUUGACAACUAUGAUAUGAUAAUAACAAUUAUCAAGAAAAAUAUUUAGCAAGCCGGUUGCAGGACCAUAUAUAUACUGAAAGAGGACAUUGUGAAACACUUCAAGUUAACUCAGGUGCCGGCUCCCAGUAAAAGUUUGGUAUUGUACCUGCAGAUGGUUCCUAUGCCUUAACUACAGCAAUGAAGUGUUCGCUGCUGAUGGUAAGACUGUCGACUUUGAUGUUGGGAUCGUGUAAUUUGAAAUAUUUGAAAACAUCUCCUAAAUUUACUAAAUGACUAAUGAUCCUUUCAAAUUAGCAGCUACUAACAAGAAAUGGGUUUCUAUAUUCACAGGGUGCAUGGAGACCCUUUGUUGAUGUGGUGGGAGUAUUAUCUGGAAAAACGAUUGAAUUUAAAAUGCUUGAGAUAUUAUUUUGACAGGCAAAUGAAGCAAUGCUUAAAAGAUGCUCUUUGAUGUUAAAAGAAAUUUGAUUUCACUCCAUAGUCUCUAGAAAUUGAACAGAUGGUGUUCAGGGUCCAUUUAGAGGGUAAUCCAGUCCAUGAGCAUUCAUUAUUUGUCGUAAGGGCCACUAUUUGUCUUUCGUCAUCAGCCUCAUUGUUGCUAAAAGUCUGUACGUGUUUCAGAGCCCCUUCAUUGUCAUCAUCGAAUGUUCAAGUAUGAAUUUGUCACUCUGCUUGUGCAUGCAUCAUUGAAUUGUAAUAAUUGUUGCCAGUUACAGCAAUGUAAACUGUGUCGUUUAUGUUUUUUGUCGUUACUGCCCGGCCAGAAAUCGGAAUGUCUCAGCCCCUCUUUCGUUGUGUAAUCUUGCAGCAUACAGUUACCAGUAGUUAUUAUGUACUGUGUCUGCAUAAAAACUUUAAUAAUGUUUAACGAACUGUUUGGAAAGAUAGUAUCCAAUUUGAAAAAAGACUUGGUGAGAUUAAGCCAUUCUUCCUCACCAUUCAGUCUGGUAAUUAACCUAUGAUAAAAAUUAAAAGACUAAAUUUAGUAACCUACUCUUCAAUGGCAGUUUUUGAAAUGAUUCAAUGGUGAAUCUUCAUUUGACUGAUUAUUAGUAUGGUUAUAUUCAAUUUUAGUCUCCUCAAGUUUGUACUGCAACAGAACAAACUACAAUAGCUGAAAAUAAUAAAAUACAUAAUGCCAAGAAGGACAUAUUUAGGUUUGUCUACAUACUAGUGGUUCUCGUGCCUUAACUACAGUGGUGAAGUGUCCUCUGUUUAUGCUACUAAGAAGAACUGGCUUUCAAUAUUCACAGGAAGGAGACCCUUUGUUGUACGUGGUUAGGGUAUUACCUAAAAAACGGCAAUGCUUAAAAGAUGAUCUUUGAUGUUAAAGAGAUUUCACUCCAUAGUCUCCAGAAAUUGAACAGACAGUGUUCAGGGUUCCUUUAGAGGGUAAUCCAGUCCAUGAAUGUUCAUUAUUCGUCAUAAGAGUGAGAAAUAUUUUAUUUGUCUUUCUAAAUGCAUCAUCAUAAGCCUCAUUCUUGCUAAAAGUCUAUACGUGUUUCAGAGCCCCUUUAUUGUCAUUAUCGAACGUUUAAGGAUGAAGUCGUCGCUAUCAUUGAAUUGUAGUGAUUGUUGCUGGUUCGGCCAGGAAUCAUUAUUGUCUGAGAAUGUCUUGGCCCCUCUCUUGUUGUAUUGUAUACAGCUACCAGUAGUAAUUGUGUACUAGCUGUGUCUGUCCUUGUCAAUUUCAUGCAUAGAAACUUUGAUGUUUAGCUUAUGAUGUCUGUUUUGAAAAAACUUGGUGAGAUUAAGUCUGCACAUUCUUCAUCAUUGCAUUAUUAUGGUAUUGAGAGUGCUUCCAUUUUGUAAAAAACCUUUGGCCUGUGACUCGAUGAACUAUGAAGUAACUAGAGACAUGGAACACUACAUGUGUGAGUUGUACACAUUCAUUCAGUCUGGUAACCUAUGAUAGAAUAAUUUAUAAUAAUAUAUGAAAUGACUAACCUUUUCUUCAGUGGCAUUUAUUCUCUUUUCCAGAUACAUGGCUGAUAUUUGAC
RNAcentral lists this long non-coding RNA (2631 nucleotides) under Amphimedon queenslandica. RNAcentral describes it as "uncharacterized LOC109582283, transcript variant X2". Lineage: Eukaryota; Metazoa; Porifera; Demospongiae; Haplosclerida; Niphatidae. The record is from RNAcentral.